UCAAUAAGCGGAGGAAAAGAAACUAACAAGGAUUCCCCUAGUAGCGGCGAGCGAAGCGGGAAGAGCUCAAAUUUAUAAUCUGGCACUUUCAGUGUCCGAGUUGUAAUCUCUAGAAGUGUUUUCCGCGUUGGACCGCACACAAGUCUGUUGGAAUACAGCGGCACAGUGGUGACACCCCCGUACACGGUGCGGACGCCCAGCGCUUUGUGAUACACUUUCGAAGAGUCGAGUUGUUUGGGAAUGCAGCUCAAAUUGGGUGGUAAAUUCCAUCUAAAGCUAAAUAUUGGCGAGAGACCGAUAGCGAACAAGUACCGUGAGGGAAAGAUGAAAAGCACUUUGGAAAGAGAGUUAACAGUACGUGAAAUUGUUGGAAGGGAAACGCUUGAAGUCAGACUUGCUUGCCGGAGCUUGCUUCGGUUUGCAGGCCAGCAUCAGUUUUCCGGGGUGGAUAAUGGCGGUUAGAAGGUAGCAGCUUCAGCUGUGUUAUAGCUUUCCGCUGGAUACAUCCUGGGGGACUGAGGAACGCAGCGUGCUUUUAGCGGGGGUUUCGACCUCUUCACGCUUAGGAUGCUGGUGUAAUGGCUUUAAACGACCCGUCUUGAAACAC
RNAcentral lists this ribosomal RNA (607 nucleotides) under Rhodotorula paludigena. RNAcentral's name for it is "partial large subunit ribosomal RNA". It matches the Rfam family "Eukaryotic large subunit ribosomal RNA", at positions 43 to 662 of the family's 3401-position model. Lineage: Eukaryota; Fungi; Basidiomycota; Microbotryomycetes; Sporidiobolales; Sporidiobolaceae. The record is from RNAcentral.